Molecule: ribosomal RNA, 333 nt
Filed under: uncultured bacterium
Lineage: Bacteria
Description: bacterial SSU rRNA
Rfam family: Bacterial small subunit ribosomal RNA
Source: RNAcentral
CGCGUAGGCGGGUUGUUAAGUGAGAGGUGAAAGGUUCAGGGCUCAACCCGAACAGUGCCUUUCAUACUGGCGACCUUGAGUGUGGGAGAGGCGAGUGGAAUUCCUGGUGUAGCGGUGAAAUGCGUAGAUAUCAGGAGGAACACCCAUGGCGAAGGCAGCUCGCUGGCCUACAACCGACGCUGAGGCGCGAAAGCGUGGGUAGCAAACAGGAUUAGAUACCCUGGUAGUCCACGCCCUAAACGAUGAAUGCUAGGUGUUAGUGGUAUCGACCCCACUAGUGCCGCAGCUAACGCAAUAAGCAUUCCGCCUGGGGAGUACGGCCGCAAGGUUGAA